This is an RNA transcript of Penaeus indicus, 811 nucleotides long. RefSeq lists it as uncharacterized. Lineage: Eukaryota; Metazoa; Arthropoda; Malacostraca; Decapoda; Penaeidae. The transcript has 2 exons. The record is from RefSeq and is a predicted model, not a curated record.
UUUCAGAUUUUGAAUAAUAACGGACGGAGAAAUAACCAGGUUGCCGAAAGAAUAAUAUCAAUUGUAUAACUCCGUCAGUGCAAUAAUCAGGCAGGCGGAUAAGUUUUGGUUGCUCAGCAGUAGCACCUUACAACUUGGGUGGGGAGGUAGUGUUGCUCGGUCCUGGUCCAGAUCUGACACAAGAGACAUGCCGAGAAAGGAAUACUCAGUUAUAAAUGUUAUCGUGAGGCGAAUCAUAAACUUAUUGCCGUGAAAUCAUGUGUAGCAGGUGUUCUGAGAGUGGUGUGUUGCAUUGAGUGUUAAUUUUGCUAAGUGUAGGACAAAUAUGUUGCAAGGAAAUGGUAACAGAUGAUUGAAUAUACAUUUUGAAUGCUGUAAUACGUCCAUGUGAUGACGAUGUUGAAGUGCUUAAAGUUCACUUCUGUGUAUCGUGAGAUCAGUGAUAACUGUUGUAUUUGGGUCAUUGAUACUAUUGGCUUUUGUGGCGUGCGUGUGCGCGUACGACAGGUUUUGCCUGCUAAUCUGAAGCGCUUCAAAAACAUGUGAAUAAUCUAGUCGGUAGGUGAAUAAGACCAAAAGAUCCCUUGAUGGAUGAUUAAGGCAGAGCCUGUGUUUUCAAAGGAUUUUACGUGCAUCUUGAGUGAGGCUACUUUGACUCAGGACCAGCAAUCACUUCACAUGCAUUGGAGGAUGUAUGAUAUGCCUCGGACGGAGUAACUACUUCCGGUUCAAUCACCCCAAGAGGCCCAGUUAAUGCGCUCGAUCUUGCCCAACACAAGGAUCAGCAUGGUGCCCAUCAACUUCUACCCGG